This is a long non-coding RNA of Cyanistes caeruleus (blue tit), 2179 nucleotides long. Lineage: Eukaryota; Metazoa; Chordata; Aves; Passeriformes; Paridae. The record is from Ensembl.
CACUCAGGGUCACUCAGGGGUCACUCAGGGUCACUCAGGGGUCACUCAGGGGUCACUCAGAGGUCAUUGGGGUCACUCUGGGGUCAGGGACACCAAAAUCUGGGAGAAUUGGGGGAAAUUUGGGAAUUUCAGGGGGAAUUUUGGGGUCCUGGGGUGGGAAUUUGGGGAAUUUUGGGGUCCUGGGGUCGGAAUUUUGGGAAUUCCCCCCCCAGCCUGGAUUUUUCUGGGAAUUCCGAACUUUUUGGGCUUUCUUUUCCCUCCUGCCCGGAAUCCCCUGCCCUGAACCCUCCCAAAAACCCCAAAAUAACCCAAAAAAAUUCCCAAAAAAUUCCAAAAAAAAUUCCCAAAAAAUUCCCAAAAAAAUUCCCAAAAAAUUCCCCAAAAAAUUCCCAAAAUACCCCAAAAAAUUUAAAAAAAAUUCCCAAAAAAUUCCAAAAAAUUCCAAAAAAGUUCCCAAAAAUUCCCAAAAAAAUUGCCAAAACACCCCAAAAAAUUAAAAAAAAAUUCCCAAAAAAUUCCAAAAAAAUCCCCAAAAUCCCCCCAAAAAAUUCCCCCCAAAAUCCCCAAAAAUUCCCAAAAAAAUUCCGAAAAAUUCAAAAAAAAUUCCCAAAAAAUUCCCAAAAUACCCCCAAAAAAUCCCCAAAAAUUCCCCAAAAAUUCCCAAAAAAAUCCCCAAAAAUUCCCCAAAAAAUUCCAAAAAAAAUCCCAAAAAAUUCCAAAAAAAACCAAAAAAAUUCCCAAAAAAAUCCCAAAAAAUUCCAAAAAAAUCCCCAAAAAUUCCCAAAAAAAUUCCAAAAAAAUCCCCAAAAAUCCCCAAAAAUUCCCCAAAAAGUUCCAAAAAAAUCCCCCAAAAAUCCCCCAAAAUUCCAAAAAAUCCCCAAAAAUUCCAAAAAAAUUGCCCAAAAAUUCCCCAAAAAAUCCCCAAAAAUUCAAAAAAAUUCCAAAAAAAUUCCAAAAAAUUCCCAAAAAUUCUUAAAAAAUCCCCAAAAAUUCCCCAAAAAUCUCCAAAAAUCCCCGACUUCCCCCGAAUUUCCGGAUCCAGGACCCGGUGUUCGCCCUGGAGCAGAACCUGCCCAUCGACACCCGCUACUACCUGGAGCAGCAGCUGAGCCGGCCCCUGCUGAGGAUCUUCGAGCCCAUCCUGGGCGAGGGCCGGGCCCAGGCGGUGCUGCUGCGUGAGUAUUCCCGGGAAAUCCCCGGAAUUCCCAAAAAUCCCCGGAAUUCCCAAAAAACCGCGUCCGAAUCGGGGCAAAAACGGCGAAAAUGGAGCGAAAAUGGAGCGAAAUUGAGUGAAAUUUGAGCAAAAUUCAGCCAAAAUGGAAUCGAAAUCCAGGAUUUUGUCAAAAAUUCCUGAAAAUUCCCGGAAUUCCCCAAAAUUCCCCAAAAUUCCCAAAAAACCGCGUCCGAAUCGGGGCAAAAACGGCGAAAAUGGAGCGAAAAUGGAGCGAAAUUGAGUGAAAUUUGAGCAAAAUUCAGCCAAAAUGGAAUUGAAAUCCAUGAUUUUGUCAAAAAUUCCCAAAAGUUCCUGAAAAUUCCCGGAAUUCCUUGAAAUUCCCAAAAAACCGCAUCAAAAUUGGGCCAAAAACGGCGAAAAUGGAGCGAAAAUUCAGCAAAAUUGAGUGAAAUUUGAGCAAAAUUCACUCAAAUUUGCCCCAAAAUGAGGAGUUUUGAGCCCAUUCUGGGUGUGGGCGGGGCUGCUGCGUGAGUAUUCCCGGGAAAUCCCCGGAAUUCCCAAAAAAUCCCCGGAAUUCCCAAAAAACUGCGUCCGAAUCGGCCCAAAAACGGCGAAAAUGGAGCGAAAAUGGAGCGAAAUUGAGAGAAAUUUGAGCAAAAUUCAGCCAAAAUGGAAUUGAAAUCCAGGAUUUUGUCAAAAAUUCCGGAAAAUUCCUGGAAUUCCCAAAAAUUCCCAAAAAACCGCAUCAAAAUCAGAUCAAAAACAGCGAAAAUUGGGCAAAAAUUGAGAAAAAUGGGGCAAAAUUGAGAGAAAUUUGAGCAAAAUUCAGCCAAAAUGGGAUCAAAAUCCAGGAUUUUGUCUCAAAUUCCCGAAAGUUCCUGAAAAUUCCCAGAAUUCCUGAAAAUUCCCAAAAAACCGCAUCAAAAUUGGGCCAAAAACGGCGAAAACCAAGCAAAAAUGGAGCAAAAUUUCACCAAAAUUCACCCAAAUCCGCCCAAAAUGGGA